Non-coding RNA from Trichonephila clavipes, 69 nucleotides. The record is from the annotation of a GenBank genome assembly. Lineage: Eukaryota; Metazoa; Arthropoda; Arachnida; Araneae; Nephilidae.
UUGUAGGGCAAUGAAUAGCGCGUUAGACUUCUAAUCCAAAAGUCGUGGGUUCUAGUCCCACCUGGAAAG